Olea europaea var. sylvestris is the source of this 551-nucleotide long non-coding RNA. RefSeq lists it as uncharacterized. Lineage: Eukaryota; Viridiplantae; Streptophyta; Magnoliopsida; Lamiales; Oleaceae. The record is from RefSeq and is a predicted model, not a curated record. The transcript is spliced from 2 exons.
GAUGACACGUGCAGCUAUUCCUUUCGUCAACAUCUAAUUCAAUUUUUUCUUUCCUCCCUUCAAAACAAUGUCGUGCAAUAAACCCUCUCCUCUCACGCUCUCUUCCAAAGGAAAUGACUCCGGUCAUGAUUUCUUGGGAGCAUAAAUCAGCCGUUGUUGCUACAUCGUUGCAGUCGCCACUAGGGAAGGAGUCAUCUCAAGUAGACAAUCAAUUGCUCGACUCAAAUUUUAUAGUGAUACUACCGGCACUUCUCUCGUACUAAUCUGCGUUCUGGGACUUGUCGUCGAUUUUACAGUGAUACUACACUUCCACUCUCUAUCAUCGUCCAUCUCUCCGCCACUCCCUCCGCCUUGAGUGUCGCCGGCUUCUGUACCCCGAAGUUGAUCCUAAAGUGGAGAAUGAAGACACAUUAGGCCCAAAUAACAUGGAUGGUUUUCUAUCUAACUUAGCAGAUGCUAUUCUAGGAAUUGAUGUCAAUUAUAAUCUCCAUUUUUAUUUGACUAUCUCAUUCAUUUAGUUUCUUCGUAUUUUAUGAAUCUUUGAUUGCAAA